RNAcentral lists this ribosomal RNA (253 nucleotides) under uncultured bacterium. Its description in RNAcentral is "partial 16S ribosomal RNA". It matches the Rfam family "Bacterial small subunit ribosomal RNA", at positions 524 to 776 of the family's 1533-position model. The record is from RNAcentral.
UACGUAGGGGGCAAGCGUUGUCCGGAUUCAUUGGGCGUAAAGAGCGUGUAGGCGGCCAGGUAGGUCGGUUGUGAAAACUGGAGGCUCAACCUUCAGAGGUCGACCGAAACCAUCUGGCUAGAGUCCGGAAGAGGAGAGUGGAAUUCCUGGUGUAGCGGUGAAAUGCGCAGAUAUCAGGAAGAACACCAAUGGCGAAGGCAGCUCUCUGGGACGGUACUGACGCUGAGACGCGAAAGCGUGGGGAGCGAACAGG